Molecule: non-coding RNA, 135 nt
Organism: Triticum aestivum (bread wheat)
Lineage: Eukaryota; Viridiplantae; Streptophyta; Magnoliopsida; Poales; Poaceae
Source: Rfam
CAACUACUCCCUCUGUCCCAAAUUUCUUGUCUUAGAUUUGUCUAGAUACAGAUGUAUCUAAUACUAAAAUGUGACUUGAUACAUCCGUAUCUAGACAAAUCUAAGACAAGAAUUUUUGGAUGGAGCGAGUACUUU